AGUGGUUCUAAACAGUUCAACA
RNAcentral lists this microRNA (22 nucleotides) under Lepisosteus oculatus (spotted gar). RNAcentral's name for it is "Loc-Mir-203-v2_5p* (star (passenger))". Lineage: Eukaryota; Metazoa; Chordata; Actinopteri; Semionotiformes; Lepisosteidae. The record is from RNAcentral. RNAcentral also lists the same sequence under 1 other name.